CAUUACCACAUUAUAAACCCAGA
This 23-nucleotide non-coding RNA is filed under the name Arabidopsis thaliana (thale cress). The record is from RNAcentral. Lineage: Eukaryota; Viridiplantae; Streptophyta; Magnoliopsida; Brassicales; Brassicaceae.